UCCAAUGUGGUGUAGUGGCUAACAUUGCUGUCUUUCAUAUUGUGUAUGCACAGCAGCCCGGGGUUCGAUUCCCCGCAUUGGAA
This 83-nucleotide transfer RNA is filed under the name Lentinula raphanica. RNAcentral describes it as "tRNA-Glu". It matches the Rfam family "tRNA". From Rfam's summary of the family: Transfer RNA (tRNA) molecules are approximately 80 nucleotides in length. Their secondary structure includes four short double-helical elements and three loops (D, anti-codon, and T loops). Lineage: Eukaryota; Fungi; Basidiomycota; Agaricomycetes; Agaricales; Omphalotaceae. The record is from RNAcentral.